GCCUGGCUAGCUCAGUCGGUAGAGCAUGAGACUCUAAUCUCAGGGUCGUGGGUUCGAGCCCACGUUGGGCG
This 71-nucleotide transfer RNA is filed under the name Danionella translucida. It matches the Rfam family "tRNA". From Rfam's summary of the family: Transfer RNA (tRNA) molecules are approximately 80 nucleotides in length. Their secondary structure includes four short double-helical elements and three loops (D, anti-codon, and T loops). Further hydrogen bonds mediate the characteristic L-shaped molecular structure. tRNAs have two regions of fundamental functional importance: the anti-codon, which is responsible for specific mRNA codon recognition, and the 3' end, to which the tRNAs corresponding amino acid is attached (by aminoacyl-tRNA synthetases). tRNAs cope with the degeneracy of the genetic code in two manners: having more than one tRNA (with a specific anti-codon) for a particular amino acid; and 'wobble' base-pairing, i.e. permitting non-standard base-pairing at the 3rd anti-codon position. The record is from Rfam by way of RNAcentral. RNAcentral also lists the same sequence under 1 other name. Lineage: Eukaryota; Metazoa; Chordata; Actinopteri; Cypriniformes; Danionidae.